GAGAUGUUAGUNAAAAUNAUUAUAUAACUUUGUCAAGGUUAACUUAUAGGUUAAAAUCCUUUAUAUCUUY
RNAcentral lists this transfer RNA (70 nucleotides) under Prosciurillus weberi (Weber's dwarf squirrel). Its description in RNAcentral is "tRNA-Asp". It matches the Rfam family "tRNA". From Rfam's summary of the family: Transfer RNA (tRNA) molecules are approximately 80 nucleotides in length. Their secondary structure includes four short double-helical elements and three loops (D, anti-codon, and T loops). Lineage: Eukaryota; Metazoa; Chordata; Mammalia; Rodentia; Sciuridae. The record is from RNAcentral.